GACGAACGCUGGCGGCGUGCUUAACACAUGCAAGUCGAGCGGUAAGGCCCUUUCGGGGGUACACGAGCGGCGAACGGGUGAGUAACACGUGGGUGACCUGCCCUCAGCUCUGGGAUAAGCCUGGGAAACUGGGUCUAAUACCGGAUAUGACUCCAUGACGCAUGUUGUGGGGUGGAAAGCCUUGUGCGGCUGAGGAUGGGCCCGCGGCCUAUCAGCUUGUUGGGGGGUGAUGGCCUACCAAGGCGACGACGGGUAGCCGGCCUGAGAGGGCGGACCGGCCACACUGGGACUGAGACACGGCCCAGACUCCUACGGGAGGGCAGCAGUGGGGAAUCUUGCGCAAUGGGCGAAAGCCUGACGCAGCGACGCCGCGUGAGGGAUGACGGCCUCGGU
RNAcentral lists this ribosomal RNA (393 nucleotides) under uncultured bacterium. Its description in RNAcentral is "bacterial SSU rRNA". It matches the Rfam family "Bacterial small subunit ribosomal RNA", at positions 28 to 423 of the family's 1533-position model. The record is from RNAcentral.